UACGAAGGGGGCUAGCGUUGCUCGGAUUUACUGGGCGUAAAGGGCGCGUAGGCGGACUGUUAAGUUGGGGGUGAAAGCCCGGGGCUCAACCUCGGAAUUGCCUUCAAUACUGGCUGUCUUGAGUGUGAGAGAGGUGUGGGGAACUCCGAGUGUAGAGGUGAAAUUCGUAGAUAUUCGGAAGAACACCAGUGGCGAAGGCGACACACUGGCUCGCUACUGACGCUGAGGGGCGAAAGCGUGGGGAGCAAACAGG
RNAcentral lists this ribosomal RNA (253 nucleotides) under uncultured bacterium. RNAcentral's name for it is "partial 16S ribosomal RNA". It matches the Rfam family "Bacterial small subunit ribosomal RNA", at positions 524 to 776 of the family's 1533-position model. The record is from RNAcentral.